GUGGGGAAUCUUAGACAAUGGGGGAAACCCUGAUCUAGCCAUGCCGCGUGAGCGAUGAAGGCCUUAGGGUUGUAAAGCUCUUUCAGCUGGGAAGAUAAUGACGGUACCAGCAGAAGAAGCCCCGGCUAACUCCGUGCCAGCAGCCGCGGUAAUACGGAGGGGGCUAGCGUUGUUCGGAAUUACUGGGCGUAAAGCGCGCGUAGGCGGACCAGAAAGUUGGAGGUGAAAUCCCAGGGCUCAACCUUGGAACUGCCUUUAAAACUCCUGGUCUGGAGUUCGAGAGAGGUGAGUGGAAUUCCGAGUGUAGAGGUGAAAUUCGUAGAUAUUCGGAGGAACACCAGUGGCGAAGGCGGCUCACUGGCUCGAUACUGACGCUGAGGUGCGAAAGCGUGGGGAGCAAACAGGAUUAGAAACCCCUGUAGUCC
RNAcentral lists this ribosomal RNA (425 nucleotides) under uncultured bacterium. Its description in RNAcentral is "partial 16S ribosomal RNA". It matches the Rfam family "Bacterial small subunit ribosomal RNA", at positions 354 to 796 of the family's 1533-position model. The record is from RNAcentral.